AUUGAACGCUGGCGGCAGGCCUAACACAUGCAAGUCGAACGGUAACAGGGAUCAGCUUGCUGAUUCGCUGACGAGUGGCGGACGGGUGAGUAAUGUCUGGGAAACUGCCUGAUGGAGGGGGAUAACUACUGGAAACGGUAGCUAAUACCGCAUAACGUCGCAAGACCAAAGAGGGGGACCUUCGGGCCUCUUGCCAUCGGAUGUGCCCAGAUGGGAUUAGCUAGUAGGUGGGGUAACGGCUCACCUAGGCGACGAUCCCUAGCUGGUCUGAGAGGAUGACCAGCCACACUGGAACUGAGACACGGUCCAGACUCCUACGGGAGGCAGCAGUGGGGAAUAUAGCACAAUGGGCGCAAGCCUGAUGCAGCCAUGCCGCGUGUAUGAAGAAGGCCUUCGGGUUGUAAAGUACUUUCAGCGGGGAGGAAGGGAGUAAAGUUAAUACCUUUGCUCAUUGACGUUACCCGCAGAAGAAGCACCGGCUAACUCCGUG
This 490-nucleotide ribosomal RNA is filed under the name uncultured bacterium. RNAcentral describes it as "partial 16S ribosomal RNA". It matches the Rfam family "Bacterial small subunit ribosomal RNA", at positions 30 to 507 of the family's 1533-position model. The record is from RNAcentral.